GCUUUGCGGCUGGAUCCCCUCCUUUCUAAGGAUUGGCCCUCAUGGCCCUUUCCCUCGGGAAAGUCAGCCAUAUCGGCCUAUCUUCAGAACAAAAUGACACUGCGGGAUGCCGCCGUCUUCGUUUCUCUUUCCAGCGUCGCAAGGGGCUGGGCGACCUGAUCGGGCCUGUAGCUCAGUUGGUUAGAGCGCACGCCUGAUAAGCGUGAGGUCGGUAGUUCAAAUCUACCCAGGCCCACCAUCGCCCAGGAAAGCCCGUUGACCGGGACCGAGCGUCUUCCGGGGCCAUAGCUCAGUUGGGAGAGCGCCUGCUUUGCAAGCAGGAGGUCGUCGGUUCGAUCCCGUCUGGCUCCACCAUCAUGUGCGACGCAUGAAACGGGUUUCGCCGCGCCUGUCGCGCGGCGGGUUCAUUGACAUCGUGAAGAGGAAGAGUUGUCCGCGUGCUGUCGUCAUCCUGCAAGGGAUGGGGGCGGUGAACGGACAUCUCCGAGAUGAUCGCUGGUAAAUAUCCGUUGUCGGUUCCGCUUUCGGGCGGGCAUUGGCAAUGGGUGUGAUCAAGUGCCUUAAGGGCAUUCGGUGGAUGCCUUGGCGCACACAGGCGAUGAAGGACGUGGUACGCUGCGAUAAGCCACGGGGAGCUGCGAGCAAGCUUUGAUCCGUGGAUUUCCGAAUGGGGAAACCCGGAAGC
This 685-nucleotide unclassified non-coding RNA is filed under the name uncultured bacterium. RNAcentral describes it as "partial contains 16S ribosomal RNA, 16S-23S ribosomal RNA intergenic spacer, and 23S ribosomal RNA". The stretch from base 550 to 685 matches the Rfam family "Bacterial large subunit ribosomal RNA", at positions 1 to 135 of the family's 2925-position model. The record is from RNAcentral.